This is a long non-coding RNA of Columba livia (rock pigeon), 352 nucleotides long. RefSeq lists it as uncharacterized. The transcript is spliced from 3 exons. Lineage: Eukaryota; Metazoa; Chordata; Aves; Columbiformes; Columbidae. The record is from RefSeq and is a predicted model, not a curated record.
UCCUUGGAGAAAAGCUCUUGUUUGUCAUUAAAUACCAGUGGUUGAGAAACAAAGCGGAGGAGGAUGGUGCUUUCAAAUGAAGGGGAGCAGCGUGUUGAACAGCCUGCCUCCGUGCUUGGGACUGCAGCUAGUUAUCCGAGCUACCACCUGCGAAGCUGCUUCUGAUCUAUGUUGACUGUCUGGCCAGUGGCCAGCGACGCUGGCCAAACAGGGCCGACACCAAGAUUCCAAAGACGCUGAGCAGCCCGGCUGUGCGUUUUGAAGCAGUGGGUGGUUCUGCUCCCCACAGGGAUGGAGGGUCCUUUGGUGGACAAUCUUUUGGGCUAAGUCAGGCUCUACGCUGCCUCCCGGG